AUCAUUUCUAGCCCUUUUGGCUGAGAUCAAGUGUAGUAUGUUAUUAUCAGUUUGAUAUCUGACACAUCCUCUUCCCGAGGAUGUUAUCUUCAAUGAAAUUUUAAAGCUGGCAGGUGGAAUAAGAGUUUGCUCCACCCACUCCGAGCAUCAACCUGGUAUUGUGGUACUUCUACAAAUGGUGCACCACCU
Molecule: small nuclear RNA, 189 nt
Organism: Artibeus jamaicensis (Jamaican fruit-eating bat)
Lineage: Eukaryota; Metazoa; Chordata; Mammalia; Chiroptera; Phyllostomidae
Product: U2 spliceosomal RNA
Exons: 1
Source: RefSeq, a predicted model, not a curated record